Callithrix jacchus (white-tufted-ear marmoset) is the source of this 4151-nucleotide long non-coding RNA. The record is from Ensembl. Lineage: Eukaryota; Metazoa; Chordata; Mammalia; Primates; Cebidae.
AUGGUGCUUCCGUGGCUGAGUAGGGUGGGUUUCUUUCGUUUUUCUCACGUUGGUGUUUUCUGGACAACUGUACUGAGCGCGUUGAUGGCAUCGGUGCUCUGCCUGUGCCCGUGGGCAGAGGACAUAGGCUGUGGGUGUGUCCCGCCCACAGGCGCGCGUGACCUAUGCAACGUGAACACAAUGAGGACAAUGACCUUUAUUAUGAUCCAUUUCCGCUUAAUAAAUAUCACAGGCAGCACUGGAUCAGAGCAGGCCACCUCACAUGGGACCUGCUGCAGUACAACUUCCAGCAUGGAGGAGCAGAGCAAGAUGUUGGCUUGCUGUGGGAGACGAGAGACACCCAUGCCUCUGACCUCUAUAUCUGUUACAGAACCCUGGCAACCACAACUCCAUUUUUCAUUUCUAUGAAUUUGACCACUUUGGAUAUCUCAUAGCUCUCUCCUUCAGCUACUAAACCUAAUGGUUGAUACAGCUAUGAGCAAGAGAGUCAGCCAAAAGCAACAACAACAACAACAACAAAAAACCUUUAAGAAGCAAAUACAGAUGCCACGAUGUCUUGCACCAUAUUUCACAUAUUAAAGACAAAGAUAAUGCUUCAUUACCUCAUGUAAUUUCAAUGUCAGUUUAUCUGGUUUUCUAGCCUGUUAGAAUUUGAAUUUGGAAUAUUAAAUUGACUACUAGACAAAGGAAUAUUGAUAGUAUUAAAUAGCUAUAGCUGAAGACACGAAGAGAUAAAAAUAAAUAAAUAUUAAGUACAAGAAAUAUUUUCACUUACAUGGAAACCUUAUUCACUUUUAGUGCCAGAUAGACAGGGGGUCAUUAUAUUUUGUAAAAUAGUGAGGGUCUGCAUAUGGGGGUUGAAAAUUUCCCCACUCCCUUAAGUGCUUAAAAAUAAUAUUGAUGAGCCCAAAUUUGGAGGCUUUGUUUUCUGAGUGAUUCUAUAAAAGAAAAGAGAGACCAUAAUAGCGAUUCCCUUUUAAAUCAUUUGCCCUUUCAUUUGUUUUAUUUUAUUUUUCAUGAAAAUUUUAAUAUAUCUUGUCUCCUUGCCCUUUUCUCUUCAGAGAGCCAUUUAAUGUCUGUCAAAUGUCAUGUUACAUGUUAUAAUAACACCACAUGGUUAUAUAUAAUACCAUAAAAUAUAUGGGUAUGACAGCUACUCAUAACCAUGCCAAUGAUGAUGAUCAGAUUCUAUCAUCCAUUUUUAAAAGUCUAUAUGACAUUUACAUCAUAGGCUACUUCUGUACUCAUCUCUGUGGUGGUAAUUUUUAAAAUCAUCUUUCUUUUUUCUUUUCUUUGAAAUUAACCAUUGCAUGGAAAAAAGAUAAUACAAAGCAAAAAUUAUGUUUGAUAAAUUUAAAGAUACAUUUUUUUCAAUCUCAAUUUUUUUGUAUUAAACAUCUGUAGUCAUUGCAUAAAUUUUAGGCCAUCUGAAACAAAUUAUCUGUGACUAUAAGGUAAUGAUUCCCAAAUAUGUGAUUUUAGAAAAUUUGCCAGAAAGAAUUCAGAAAGGAAGUACAAAUCUAUUAUUUUAUGGAGGAAUAAAUCAAAACAAGACUAUACUACAUAUGUUAAACUAGGAAAUAUUGAACAAAAUGAAAAAUAUCUAUGAAGGAAGAAGUAGAAUAAAAAGUUGUAUCUGGAAAAAAAUGAAAAAGUAGAGGAAUUUUUAAAAGCUUUCCAUUUUAAUGACCUGAUAAUGGGAGAAAGUGAAGUCAUGUGUGAGUUGAUUUGCUGUAGUCACAUGAGAACUGCAUUUAGUUUCAGACCUGCUGCAUUUGGAUCUGUGGAAUGACCUUAGAAGGAAUCCUAAGUGACUAAAUUUCAUGCAACAAUCAUUAUUGUGGGCAUUUUCAGUUGAUGCCCCUCUGUCUUUCUAGACUCUUAUAUUUUUAACAACUUUUACAUUUUUCAUGUGUUUCGUGAAAAAACUUAUAAUAAAGAUUUUACCCAAUUGUAGCAGAAAGUCUUAAACAGAACUGAAAUACCUCAAUCAUUCUCUUUUGAUGUCUCUUAGAAAUUAGGUAAAUUAAAGCCACUCAUAAUGUUACACUAUAAGAACUUAACAUGAAGGAAACAAAAUGCUUAAUAUUCGAAGCAUGACCCAAAUACUCAACACAAAGAGAUUUGACAGAAAAGACUUUUGCUGAACUCUGUGGAGAACUAUCGUUGGGAAGAAAAAGCCCAAUAAAUAAAUAAAGUUAAAAAAUAAAACCUCAAACUAAGCCAACCAAAUAUAAACUCAGUGGUUACCUAACUUAUACUUCAUGUCAUUUUGUUUCAUGGUAAAGCAAUGGCUAAUUAGAAUUUUUAAAUAAAACUGUAUAAAACUGUGUGACUCUUUUUUUUUUUUUUUUUUUUUUUACUUUGCAUCUUCUUCGUCAGGUAUCUGCAAAUACUAUUCAUGUCAAUUGUCUCAGAGAAAAAUAUAGACUAAUUAAAAUGCUAAUCUUUAGUAAACACAUAAGUACUUGCAUGAAAAUUAAACACUUGGGUUGCUAAUUCAUGAAUACGUGCUCAGACAUCAGGAACACUGCAAGUAGUGUGGACUUCAGUCUUCGGCUUAACAGCCUCGUCUACAUGUCAAAUCCACUUCAGGGCUGAGAGUAUCUACCAUUGAAAUCACCCAGUGUGCCUGCUCUCAAGAUUAUCUAAGGAGAAAAGAAAAGUGAUGUGCACUUUGAGAAGAUUAUUUAAAGCCUGCAGAUUCAUUAGGGGAGAACUUAAUUGUGAUCGAAUCUAUAAUCCUUUCAGUUCAUCCUAUAAAUAAUAACAGUCUGAACUCUAUUGAAUCACAUGGCCUCUUUUGCACAAACCUAUAGAAGAGAGUCCUCAAAAUUGAAUAGAUGGAAUUGAAUGGACCUGGGAAGUGGGAACUAGAAUUUGAUGGACAGCCUUUCACCUCUAGGUUAUUGGUUUGUAUCUGACCCAGGUGAUGAAAAGUCGUUGUUCUACAAUGGCUGUUUAGUAGGUUUCUGUGUAAUGAGCUGUUGGCUUCAGUCCAUUCCUCAGUAGACAGGUGUCUGAUCACAUUCCCAAAUCACCACUCCACUUGUCAGUCACAUUUGAGGUCAAGCGCUAAAUAGGAACCGAGGCUGAAAUACUUUCUCAUUCUGAUGAGUACAGGCCUUCCUUUGUUGGUUGACUUAGUUGGAAAACAAAAACUGCCAUAGUCACUGUUCAUGCUCUGCCUAUAUUCUAUGUAAGAAGAUUUUAUUGUUUAGGACUUCUAUCAUAAUGAAAAAUUAUUAGGUUCUUCAAAGUUCAUGUUUUAUUGUUACAUGUCAUAGAAAGAGAGGCACCUAAAUACUGUCCCAGUCCCAAAGGACAUAAAAAUUUAAAUUUAUUAAUCUAACUGUAAGAGAAAUAUGUCAUACUGAGAAAGCAUUGGCAUCUGGUUUUAAUUCACUGAUACAGAAGAAUUGUAAUGUAGAUUCCAAAUUCUCAGUAAAAAAACACCUGGCAGUUAGAAGAUAGCCAGCAGCUGAACAUUAUAUGAUCUUUUUUGGCUGGAAGAACAGCUGUCUUUGAGGUGGGAAGUAGAAAAAGACAUGUAGAAAAGUUUCUAUUUAAUGCCUUUUGAGAUUUAUAAAGUGGGUAUAAGCUUCUUUAAAUUUGUUUUAAAUACUUUUGUUUCUAUAUUGUCCACCAUUAUACAAUUAUGAAUUUAUAUUUAUUAGCAUUUCUGAAAAAGUUUGUGGCUUAGAGUGAUAGGUCAAGUCCAGAAGCCAGAGAACUCAGAUGUUUUAACCCUAAACAUUUGUGAGGGUUUUCUGCCACUGAUAUAUAAAGUCAUUUCUCAUACAAAUUGACUGCAUGUUUCAGACAACUAUAUGUUUUAAGUAAGAGUUAUGCAACUCUUGUUCACUGGCUUCUGUUGAUCUGGUCUUUUCACUUAAGAAAAAUAGUACCAACUUGGGUCAUCUUAUUGUCUUUCCUGGUGGGGUUUAUUGUUAAAUACAUUUCUAACUUGUUAAAAGUAACUGGAUUGAAUGACAAACUUUAAAUCAAUCUUAAUUAUCAUAUGUCUCCUAGCUCAUUUUUAAGCUUGAAUGUGAUUAAAUAUUACUAGCUAGCUCAUUACACUGUCUCUUUUACUCACAGUUCUAAUAGCGAAUAUUCUAUUGCUAUAGUCCUUAGAAACUGAAAAAAUG